GGGACUUUAUCUUAAUUUAAAGAGUCUGAGUUGCAUUCAGAAGAUGUGAAUUAAUUUUUCGCACGUUCUA
RNAcentral lists this transfer RNA (70 nucleotides) under Mantella bernhardi. Its description in RNAcentral is "tRNA-Ala". The record is from RNAcentral. Lineage: Eukaryota; Metazoa; Chordata; Amphibia; Anura; Mantellidae.